Molecule: ribosomal RNA, 200 nt
Filed under: uncultured bacterium
Lineage: Bacteria
Description: partial 16S ribosomal RNA
Rfam family: Bacterial small subunit ribosomal RNA
Source: RNAcentral
AAUGAACGCUGGCGGCAUGCCUAACACAUGCAAGUCGAACGAAGCCUUCGGGCUUAGUGGCGCACGGGUGCGUAACGCGUGGGAAUCUGCCCUUGGGUUCGGAAUAACUCUCCGAAAGGAGUGCUAAUACCGGAUGAUGUCGUAAGACCAAAGAUUUAUCGCCCAAGGAUGAGCCCGCGUAGGAUUAGCUAGUUGGUGAG